AUCUGAGUACGGAUCUGGCUAUGGUGGACAAACGGAGGUGGAGUAUGGUCGGAGACCUGAGCAGAGUUAUGGAUCUGGUUAUGGUGGAAGGACGGAGACUGAAUCGGAGUAUGGAUCUGGUGGUGGUGGAAGAACUGAGGUUGAGUAUGGUAGGAGACCUGAAUCAGGGCUUGGAUCUGGUUAUGGUGGGAGAUCGGAGUCUGAGUAUGAGCGUAAGCCUAGCUAUGGAAGGUCUGAGGAACAAGAAGAAGGUUAUAGGAAGCCUAGCUAUGGAAGAUCUGAAGAACAAGAGGAAGGUUACAGGAAGCCAAGUUAUGGAAGAUCUGAGGAGCAGGAAGAAGGAUAUAGAAAGCCUAGCUAUGGAAGAUCUGAGGAGGAACAAGAGGAAGGUUAUAGGAAGCCUAGCUAUGGAAGAUCUGAGGAACAAGAGGAAGGAAGUUACAGGAAACCUAGUUAUGGGAGGUCUGAUGAUCAGGUGGAGAGUUACAUUAAGCCUAGCUAUGGAAGAUCUGAGGAACAGGAGGAGGGAAGUUACAGGAAGCCUAGUUAUGGGAGGUCUGAGGAACAGGAAGAGGGGAGUUACAGGAAGCAGCCUAGCUAUGGCCGUGGCAAUGACGAUGAUGAUGAUGAGCAGCGUAGGAACCGUUCUGGUUCUGGUGAUGAUGAGGAAGGGAGCUAUGGCCGCAAGAAAUAUGUAAGUUGAAGAAAUUAAUAUUUUGUUGAAUCCUUUGGUGAUCAUAUUGUAGAGUGUAGAGUAAUCCAAAGUUUAUAUCUUUAGUGAUUGUUUUAUGAUCAUUCAUGAUUUAGCCAUCUAUAAACAUCAUUAUAAAGAACCUGUCUAAAGUCUUUGUUUGGAUACAUACAUGUCAACGAAAUGUAUCUGUUUCACAGUUUACAUGAAUAGAAAGCUAGUUCUAGGAUUCCAUUUGACUUUGGUGGUGUAGUAUUCGAUUGAAUAUGGACAACAUUUCGUUUGGUUGAAUUAUGCAUAGCUUGCAUCUAGGUUGUGUGGAAAUUAAGUUUGAUUGGUUAGCACUGAAAACCCUUUGUUGAUCAUAGUGUAGAGUAACUCGUUAUUGAACUAAAGUUAUAUCUUUAGUGGUGGUUCUUGUCGAUUAAUGAUUUAGUCAUCUGUGAACAUCCAUUAAGAAGAACAAUGUUGUCUAGUUACAUACUUACAUGUCAACAUUAUUUUAUUGAAUUUGGCCAUCUUGAGGAUAUCUGAAGGUCUCUCUUUCCUUUCUUAUGGUCAUAGUUCAUAGCAGCGGCAUCAUUAACCUGAUGUCAUUGUAUGGGUCAUUACAUAGGUUACACUUUUGACGUAGUCCUAAUUAUUUCCAAUACACAAUUUGCAGGGUGGCAAUGACUCUGAUGAGGAUGAGGAGAAGAAGAAGCACCGUCACAAGCAUCACCACCAGAAGCGUCGUGACGAAGACGAUGAGUAAACUAAACCCUCUCUGUGCUAGAGAGUGUAAUGAGAAUGUGUGUUUGCUUAGCCUCAAAAAUCUACUAAAUAAAGAGCUAAGUCACAUAC
This 1534-nucleotide long non-coding RNA is filed under the name Arabidopsis thaliana (thale cress). RNAcentral describes it as "long non-coding RNA (ATHA_LNC000447)". Lineage: Eukaryota; Viridiplantae; Streptophyta; Magnoliopsida; Brassicales; Brassicaceae. The record is from RNAcentral.